Molecule: non-coding RNA, 414 nt
Filed under: Pongo abelii (Sumatran orangutan)
Lineage: Eukaryota; Metazoa; Chordata; Mammalia; Primates; Hominidae
Source: RNAcentral
CUUUCUUCCAGAUCUCCUCUGGCACGUAUCCAGACGCAGGCCUGUGAAGGAAUUCCCGAUGCGCGUCUAUGAAAAGGAUGGGAAGGGGGUGGAGAGAGGAGGAGAGUACUGUAAGCACACUUGUGUCAUCGCACAGAGUGAAAGGCACACAGAUUAUCAACUGGCAAGAAUAUUAGAUUUUCUCAACUAUUCUGAAUUAGCAAAAAUUUACUACAGCUUGGUGAGGAAUAUAUGGAAACUCUCUAUAUCAUCUUUGCAAUUUUUUAAUCUAAAAUUAUUCCAAAUAUUUAAAAGUUUAUUUUCAAAAGUUUACACUGUGAUGUCAUGACUACUUAAUAACAGGAUGGACUGGAAAUAUCUAUGCAUUCUCCUGUGUAUAUUCAUUUCUAUAAAGUAAAUGACAAAAAUAAAAAC